RNAcentral lists this ribosomal RNA (305 nucleotides) under uncultured bacterium. Its description in RNAcentral is "bacterial SSU rRNA". It matches the Rfam family "Bacterial small subunit ribosomal RNA", at positions 335 to 639 of the family's 1533-position model. The record is from RNAcentral.
GUGCCUACGGGAGGCAGCAGUGAGGAAUAUUGGUCAAUGGGCGGGAGCCUGAACCAGCCAAGCCGCGUAAAGGAAGAAGGCGCGAGGCGUCGUAAACUUCUUUUGUCGGGGAACAAAGGGCGCCACGCGUGGCGUUGUGAGUGUACCCGAAGAAAAAGCAUCGGCUAACUCCGUGCCAGCAGCCGCGGUAAUACGGAGGAUGCGAGCGUUAUCCGGAUUUAUUGGGUUUAAAGGGUGCGUAGGCGGUCCGGAAAGUCAGCGGUAACAAUUCGGGGCUCAACCCCGUCCGGCCGUUGCAACUGGGG